This is an RNA transcript of Ananas comosus (pineapple), 3116 nucleotides long. It is a transcript of the gene named extra-large guanine nucleotide-binding protein 3-like, with no coding region annotated. NCBI's taxonomy places the organism in Eukaryota, Viridiplantae, Streptophyta, Magnoliopsida, Poales, Bromeliaceae. The transcript is spliced from 9 exons. The record is from RefSeq and is a predicted model, not a curated record.
CCUUGCUCGUUCUUCUUCUUCUUCUUCUUUUUUCCCGUUUUGUUGUCCGAGCUCCAUUAAUGGCCCCCAAAACCCUAACCCUAGCACGAACCCUAUAUUGAGGUUCAGUGCGUUAAUGGCGGCAGCGGCGAGCUCGUGGGAGGAGGCGCUGAGGAAGAUGCUCCCCCCCGGGGCUCCGUUGCCCGAUGAGGACCACCUCGACUACUCCAUCUCCGUGGAGUAUGAUGGGCCCCCGAUACCCUACGAAGUCCCCAGGAUCAAGCCAUUGGAGAAUCGGAGCUCCUCUUCCUCGUCCUCCGCGGCGGCCGCCGCUGCCGCUGCAGCCGCCGAAGCGGCGGCGGCGGCGCUUCCCAGGGGCUCCCGCUUCGCCCGAUCCCGGUGCGCGGAUCCGCCGCGCGGGGCGGCGACGGAGAGCGCGCGCUCCUCCUCCGCGGUGCUUCCUCAGCCCGACUCCGACGGCGCCGCCGACGCGAGCUCCGCCUCCGCCUCCGCCUCCCCUCCUCAACGCGGCCCUGAGACGACAACGAAGCCCGAUCUCGCGGCGGAGCCGCCCGGGGACCCGAUCGCCGGCGCAUCGCCGCCUCGGCCGCCAUCGUCGUCGUCGCCGGCGGCGGCCGCGGCGGCGACGGGCGGCGGGGUGGGGCGGAGGGGGGCGUGCGCCCGGUGCGGGAAGGGGGGCAUCCUGCGGGAGCGGGAGGCGUGCUUGGCGUGCGGCGCGCGCUACUGCGGCGACUGCGUGCUGCGCGCGAUGGGGUCGAUGCCGGAGGGGCGCAAGUGCGUCGGCUGCAUCGGUCGCCCGAUCGCCGAGCCGAAGCGAUCGGCCCUCGGCAAGAGCUCUCGGAUGCUCUCCAAGCUCUUCAGCCCCCGCGAGGUCCAGCAGAUCAUGAAGGCCGAGAGGGAGUGCGCCGCGAAUCAGCUCCGGCCCGGGCAGCUCACCGUCAACGGCCAUGACCUGACACAGGAGGAGCUCGACGAGAUCUUGGGGUGCCCGAAUCCGCCGCAGAAGCUCAGGCCCGGGAGAUACUGGUACGACAAGGAUUCGGGACUCUGGGGAAAGGAAGGUGAGAAGCCUGAUCAGAUUAUUAGUUCGAAGCUAAAUGUGGGAGGAAAGCUACAGCCCGAUGCUAGUAAUGGUAACACACAGGUCUUUAUAAAUGGCCGUGAAAUCACUAAACUGGAGCUCAGAGUGCUCAAGCUGGCCAAUGUACAAUGCCCACGAGGUACUCAUUUCUGGGUAUAUGAUGAUGGUUCGUAUGAGGAGGAGGGGCAGAAUAUAAUAAGAGGAAAAAUUUGGGAAAAGGCGUCGACUCGUCUUAUUUGUUCGCUGUUCUCGUUGCCAACACCUCCUGAGAAUACUCCUGGGUUGAGAGAAGAUGCCUCUGCACCCUCAAGUAGGUUAAUUCCGGAGUAUCUAGAGCAAAGAAGAGUGCAAAAACUUUUGUUGCUUGGACUAGAGGGUUCUGGAUCGAGCACCAUUUUUAAACAGGCAAAGUUCUUGUAUGGAAGCAAGUUUUCUGCCGAAGAAAUGCAAAGUAUGAAGCUCAUGAUUCAAAGCAACCUCUACAAGUAUCUCAGUAUAUUGCUUGAAGGACGAGAACAGUUUGAGGAUGAAGCUUUGGAGGAGAAAAGGAAUCGUGGGCUGUAUGCUGAUGAGUCCCACCCUUCCGAGGAAAGCGAAGUCAAGGAAGAUUGCUCGUGUAUAUAUUCAAUAAACCAAAGGUUGAAGCACUUUUCUGACUGGCUGCUGGAAAUCGUGGCUAUGGGAGACCUGGAUGCUUUCUUUCCCGCCGCAACUCGUGAAUACGCCCCUGUCGUUGAGGAGAUCUGGAGAGAUCCUGCAAUCCAAGAGACUUAUAAAAGGAGGAAUGAGCUGCACUCUCUUCCCAACGUUGCUGGUUAUUUUCUCGAUAAGGCAAUUGAAGUUUCCAGCAACGAGUAUGAACCCACCGAGAAAGACAUCUUAUAUGCCGAGGGCGUCACCGACUGCCACGGCCUUGUUUUCCUUGAGUUCUCUCUAGAUGAUCAAAGCAUGAUUUCUGACCCACCCACUGGAAGAUUCGACUGCCCGUCAUCCCAAACUAAGUACCAACUUAUCCGCGUGGACUCCAAAGGGUUAAACGAAGGCUGCAGAUGGCUCGAGAUGUUCGAGGACAUUCGUGCCGUGAUCUUCUGCGUCUCUCUUAGCGACUACGACCAAAUGUGGCCUCGAGAUUCGGGCGAUCUUUGCAACAAGAUGAUCUUAAGCAAAGAACUCUUCGAAAAUAUAGUGAACCACCCUUCUUUCCAGGACACCCCCUUCGUCCUCCUCCUCAACAAGUACGACACCUUCGAAGAAAAGAUAGAUAAGAUCCCUUUGACAGUGUGCGAGUGGUUCUCCGAUUUCAGCCCCGUGAAACCGCACCACACGAACCAGUCACUCGCGAGCCACGCGUACUACUUCAUCGCGGUGAAGUUCAAGGAUCUCUACGCUUCUCUUUGCGAUCGAAAGCUCUUCGUCUUCCAGAUGAAAGCGCUCGAGCGAAGCACGAUCGACGACUCAUUUAAGUAUAUCAGAGAGGUGCUAAAAUGGGAUGACAUGAAGGACGAUAACGUCUUUGCGGUCCUUGACGAGUCCUUUUACACUACAGACGCAACCUAUUCGAACUAUCUUAGGCAGGAUUUGUAAUGGGUCUUAGGUUUCUUGUAGAGAGUUGUUUCACAAUGUAGUGUGAUAUUCUAGUUUGUCUCUUUCAUUUUCACCUUUUCUCUUGUUUUGUAGUGUAAUGUUCUCUCAUUUUCUCUGUAUAUUUAUAUAUAGAAUAUGCAUUGGAGAUGAAAUCCGACAACUUUUGUGGCUGCAUUAAGGGAGGGGGAAAAAAGCUGGGACUUCAGUUUUGCUGGAUGCUUACUGCUGCUGCUGCUGCUGCUGCUGCUGCUGCUGAGAGUAGCACUUCCAGAAGCCAGAGCUUAAGAAGACUGCAAGGUGCUUAGGGGGUGUUUGGUUUCUUGUAAAACUCUAGAAAACUGUUUUCGGGGAAAAAUGGUUUUCCGUGAAAAACGACCAUUUUCCAGAGGUUUCGAAAACGAAAACACUGUGAAAUAACCGUUGUACUAUAAAAGCUUAAGCUGUUAGAGAA